This 468-nucleotide ribosomal RNA is filed under the name uncultured bacterium. RNAcentral's name for it is "partial 16S ribosomal RNA". It matches the Rfam family "Bacterial small subunit ribosomal RNA", at positions 28 to 507 of the family's 1533-position model. The record is from RNAcentral.
GACGAACGCUGGCGGCGUGCUUAACACAUGCAAGUCGAACGGAAAGGCCCUGCUUUUGUGGGGUGCUCGAGUGGCGACCGGGUGAGUAACACGUGAGUAACCUGCCCUUGACUUUGGGAUAACUUCAGGAAACUGGGGCUAAUACCGGAUAGGAGCUCCUGCUGCAUGGUGGGGGUUGGAAAGUUUCGGCGGUUGGGGUGGGACUGGCGGCGUAUCAGUUUGUUGGUGGGGUAGUGGCUUACCAAAGCUUUGAUGGGUAGCCGGCCUGAGAGGGUGACCGGCAACAAUGGGACUGAUAUACGGCCCAGACUCCUACGGGAGACAACAGUGAGGAAGAAUGCACAAUGGGCGGAAGCCAGAUGCAGCAACACCGCGUUCGGGAUGACGGCCUUCGGGUUGUAAACCGCGUUCGCCUGUGACGAAGCGUGAGUGACGGUAAUGGGUAAAGAAGCACCGGCUAACUACGUG